RNAcentral lists this ribosomal RNA (406 nucleotides) under uncultured bacterium. RNAcentral's name for it is "partial 16S ribosomal RNA". It matches the Rfam family "Bacterial small subunit ribosomal RNA", at positions 30 to 526 of the family's 1533-position model. The record is from RNAcentral.
AUUGAACGCUGGCGGCAGGCCUAACACAUGCAAGUCGAACGAGUGGCGGACGGGUGAGUAAAGUCUGGGAAACUGCCCGAUGGAGGGGGAGAACUACUGGAAAAGGUAGCUAAUACCGCGUACCAUAGGAUGUGCCCAGAUGGGAUUAGCGUGUAGGUGAGGUAACGGCUCACAUAGGCGACGCACCCUAGCAGGUCUGAGAGGAUGACCAGCCACCCUGGAACUGCGACACGGUCCAGACGCCUACGGGAGGCAGCAGGGGGGAAUAUUGCACAAUGGGCGCAAUCCUGAUGCAGCCAUGCCGCGUGUAUGAAGAAGGCCUUCGGGUUGUAAAGUACUUUCAGCGGGUAGGCGUUACCCGCAGAAGAAGCACCGGCUAACUCCGUGCCAGCAGCCGCGGUAAUUC